AGUGAACGCUGGCGGUAGGCCUAACACAUGCAAGUCGAACGGCAGCACGGUAAGAGCUUGCUCUUACGGGUGGCGAGUGGCGGACGGGUGAGGAAUACAUCGGAAUCUACUUUUUCGUGGGGGAUAACGUAGGGAAACUUACGCUAAUACCGCAUACGACCUACGGGUGAAAGCAGGGGAUCUUCGGACCUUGCGCGAUUGAAUGAGCCGAUGUCGGAUUAGCUAGUUGGCGGGGUAAAGGCCCACCAAGGCGACGAUCCGUAGCUGGUCUGAGAGGAUGAUCAGCCACACUGGAACUGAGACACGGUCCAGACUCCUACGGGAGGCGGCAGUGGGGAAUAUUGGACAAUGGGCGCAGGCCUGAUCCAGCCAUACCGCGUGGGUGAAGAAGGCCUUCGGGUUGUAAAGCCCUUUUGUUGGGAAAGAAAAGCAGCAGGUUAAUACCCCGCUGUUCUGACGGUACCCAAAGAAUAAGCACCGGCUAACUUCGUG
Molecule: ribosomal RNA, 492 nt
Filed under: uncultured bacterium
Lineage: Bacteria
Description: partial 16S ribosomal RNA
Rfam family: Bacterial small subunit ribosomal RNA
Source: RNAcentral